RNAcentral lists this ribosomal RNA (443 nucleotides) under uncultured bacterium. RNAcentral's name for it is "SSU rRNA". It matches the Rfam family "Bacterial small subunit ribosomal RNA", at positions 26 to 518 of the family's 1533-position model. The record is from RNAcentral.
AGAACGAACGCUGGCGGCAGGCUUAACACAUGCAAGUCGAGCGCCCAGCAAUGGGAGCGGCGGACGGGUGAGUAACACGUGGGAACAUGCCCUUUGGUACGGGACAACUCAGGGAAACUUGAGCUAAUACCGUAUGUGCCGGUAACGGGAAAGAUUUAUCGCCAAAGGAAUGGCCCGCGUCCGAUUAGCUAGUUGGUGAGGUAAUGGCUCACCAAGGCACCGAUCGGUAGCUGGUUUGAGAGAACGACCAGCCACACUGGGACUGAGACACGGCCCAGACUCCUACGGGAGGCAGCAGUGGGGAAUCUUGGACAAUGGGGGCAACCCUGAUCCAGCCAUGCCGCGUGAGUGAUGAAGGCCUUCGGGUUGUAAAACUCUUUCGACGGGGACGAUAAUGACGGUACCGUAGAAGAAGCUCCGGCUAACUUCGCGCCAGCAGCCGC